This 328-nucleotide unclassified non-coding RNA is filed under the name plant metagenome. Its description in RNAcentral is "partial contains 5.8S ribosomal RNA, internal transcribed spacer 2, and large subunit ribosomal RNA". The stretch from base 1 to 104 matches the Rfam family "5.8S ribosomal RNA", at positions 50 to 154 of the family's 154-position model. The record is from RNAcentral.
GAAAUGCGAUAAGUAAUGUGAAUUGCAGAAUUCCGUGAAUCAUCGAAUCUUUGAACGCACAUUGCGCCCUCUGGUAUUCCGGGGGCAUGCCUGUCCGAGCGUCAUUGCGAACCCCUCAAGCACGGCUUGUGUGAUGGGCCCUCCCGCGUCUUGGUCGUCAAGACGGGCCCGAAAUGCAGUGGCGGCUUCGCGGUUAUCCGAUCAGCCAGAGCGUAUGGGGACUCUCUCUCUUGUCACACGCCCGCGGCGCGGACCGGCGCCUGUCGACCUUUAUUCAUCUUCUCUCGGUUGACCUCGGAUCAGGUAGGGAUACCCGCUGAACUUAAGC